UACAGAGGGUGCGAGCGUUAAUCGGAAUUACUGGGCGUAAAGCGUGCGUAGACGGUUAUUUAAGUCGGGUGUGAAAGCCCCGGGCUCAACCUGGGAACUGCAUUCGAGACUGAAUAGCUAGGGUACGGUAGAGGGAAGUGGAAUUUCCGGUGUAGCGGUGAAAUGCGUAGAUAUCGGAAGGAACAUCAGUGGCGAAAGCGACUUCCUGGACCAGUACCGACGUUCAGGCACGAAAGCGUGGGGAGCAAACAGG
RNAcentral lists this ribosomal RNA (253 nucleotides) under uncultured bacterium. Its description in RNAcentral is "partial 16S ribosomal RNA". It matches the Rfam family "Bacterial small subunit ribosomal RNA", at positions 524 to 776 of the family's 1533-position model. The record is from RNAcentral.